AUACAGAGGUCCCAAGCGUUGUUCGGAUUCACUGGGCGUAAAGGGUGCGUAGGUGGCGGGGUAAGUUCGAUGUGAAAUCUCCGAGCUCAACUCGGAAACUGCAUUAAAUACUAUUCUGCUUGAGGAUCGGAUGGGAGACUGGAAUUUUCGGUGUAGCAGUGAAAUGCGUAGAUAUCCAGAGGAACACCAGUGGCGAAGGCGAGUCUCUGGACGAUUCCUGACACUGAGGCACGAAAGCUAGGGGAGCAAACAGGAUUAGAAACCCCAGUAGUCC
Molecule: ribosomal RNA, 274 nt
Filed under: uncultured bacterium
Lineage: Bacteria
Description: partial 16S ribosomal RNA
Rfam family: Bacterial small subunit ribosomal RNA
Source: RNAcentral